Babesia bovis is the source of this 2852-nucleotide non-coding RNA. NCBI's taxonomy places the organism in Eukaryota, Apicomplexa, Aconoidasida, Piroplasmida, Babesiidae. The record is from Rfam.
AAUUAAAAUAAAUUAAAAUUUAAAAUGAAUUUCUAAAAUUCUAUAAACGAAGAAAAUCAAAAUUAAUUUUUGAAUAUUUAUAUUUUUUAAAAUAUUAUUUCUAACAAAUAUUUAGAAUAAAAAAAUAUAAAGUUAUUGAAUGUUGUAAAUAUUUUUAUAAUAUUAUUUACAUAUAGUGUACUUAAAGAACUGAAUCAUCUUAGUAUUUAAAGGAAAAAAAUGUAACAACGAUUUUCUUAGUAGCGGCGAGCGAAUAGAAAUUAAAAAUAAUAUUAUGGUUUCAUAAUAUAGUGAAAAUGAAAUUUUAUUAAAUAAUAUGUAAAACAAUGUUAUAAUUUGUUUGAAUUGCGUUUUAUUUAGUACUAUCUGAAAAAUUUUUAAUAUUAUAGAAUUUUAUAGCGUACAAGUACUGUGAAGGAAAGAUGAAAAGAUUUUGGAUAAAAAAGUGAAAAGAACAUGAAAUUUUAAAUUUUAUAAAGUUUAUUUAAUUAAAUUUAAAUUUAAUUUAAUUAAAUGCUUGUUGAAGAAUGAGUCGGCGAGUUAUAAUUAUUUAUAAUAUUAAAUAUUACAUAGUGUAUUAAGAGGUAAAUCGAGUUUUAAAAAAACAUACACAUUAAAUAAUUAUAGACCCGAACCCAAAUGAUCUAAUUAUGCUCAGAAAAUAAAACGUAUUAAAACGUUUAUUGUUCGAACUAGUUGAUGUUGCAAAAUCAUUAGAUGAAGUGUAAUUAGAGGUGAAAUGCUAAUCGAAUUUGGAGCUAGCUGGUUUUCUCUGAAAUGUAUUUAAGUACAGAUGAAUAUAAAUAAUAAAAGAUAAAGCUCUACAUUGUGUGUAUAUAGAUGUUCCUAUCAAUAUGCACAUUGAGUAAACUAUAAAUUGUUAUUAUAUUUUAAUUAUAAAAUUGCUUUAUAAUUAAAAUAAAUAUUUAUAUGACAUUGAGACUGUUAGGGUUAAGCUUAACAUGUCGAGAGGGUAACAGCCCUUAAUAUAAAGUAAGGUUUUAAAAUAUAUGUUUAGGAUAAGACGUUUAAUUAUGAUUAUGGCUAAAAUAUAAGCUUUCAAGCGGCUAUUAUUUAAAGAGUGGUAUUGAGCACAUUAGAACAGUAAUUAAGUAUCACAAAUAAUAGAAAAUAAACAUAUAACCGAAUUUAUAGAUUUAAACUUAUUUAUUUUAAGAAAUUAGAAUAAACUACAUUUAAAAGGUAAGAGAACGUUUUAUUUGUAAUUACAUAAUUUAUAUGUGAAUAUAAAUAAAAAAUAAUGUACAAAUAAAAGCGAUAAUGCCGAUUUAAGUAAUAAAAUAUUAGAUAUAAAUCUAAUACUCCGAAUAUUUAUAGAUUUCCUAUUAAACGAGUAUAUCAAAUAGGGUUAGUCGAAGUCUAAAAAUAAAUAUUUAAUUAUAUUUGAUGACCAAUGAGUUAAUAUUCUCAUACUAUAUUAAAAUUAAGUUUAAUUAAAAUUUAAUCUAUAAUUAAAUAUGUAAAUUUUUUAUUUAUUUUUGUAUAACUUAAUAAGCAAAUAAUAAAUGAAAAUAUUUGUAUAGUGCCUUAUAGUUAACUAGAAAUGUUUAAAUUUAAAAUAUUUUAAUAUAUUCGUAUUAAAUCUGACACAAGUGAAUAGGUAGUAAAAAUACCAAGGAGAUGAAUAAAUUUUCUUUAAGGAACUAGGCAAAAUUAUUCUGUAACUUAGGGAUAAAGAAUGCUUUUAAAGUGUAACAUACUAGGCUCAAACGACUGUUUAUCAAAAACACAGGUUCUUGCUAAAUUAAAUAAUGAUGUACAAGAACUGACUCCUGCCCAGUUCUAGUAAGUAAAAAAAGGACACUACUAUAAUGUGUUUUUAUAAGCGCUAGUUAAACGGCGGCUGUAUUCAUAACGGUCCAAAGGUAGCGAAAUUCCUUGUCGGGUAAGUUCCGACCUGCAUGAAAGGAGUAACGAUUUGAGCGCUGUCUUAAAGAAAAUUUCAAUGAAAUAAUAAUGUCUGUGAAGAUACGGACUAUUUACACAAGGACAGAAAGACCCUAUGAAGCUUUACUAUAAUUUAUGAGUAUAAUUUAUAUAUUGUGUAUGAAGAAUAUAUGGUCAAAAUAAAUGUAAAUUUAUUUUUAUAGCUGGGAUACCAUUUGCACAGUAUAUAAUUAUUAAUAACAUUAAAUAUAAAAAUUUAUUUAAAUACUUAUAAAUGUGGUAGUUUUACUGGGGCGGUAUCCUCCUAAAUGGUAACGGAGGAGAACUAAGGGUAUUUAAAUAAUAUCUAAAAAGAUAUUGUUAGAUUUUAAAGAAAAAUAAUACCUUAACUGUUAAAUAAACUUAUUAUACAGAAAUUAAUGUUGGUCUUAAUGAUCCGAUAAAUAAAAUUAAUAGAUGUAUUAUCGAUAAACGGAUAAAAGUUACUCUAGGGAUAACAGGCUGAUCUCUCCCGAGAGAUUCGAUAUUGACGGGGAGGUUUGGCACCUCGAUGUCGGCUUAUCGCAUCCUGAAGCUGAAUAAGGUUUCAAGGGUUGGUUUGUUCACCCAAUAAAGCGGUACGUGAGCUGGGUUCAGAACGUCGUAAGACAGUUUGGUCCAUAUCCGGUGUAAAUUAAUAAAACAUUGCAAUAAUUCUUUUUAGUACGAAAGGAAUAAAAGAACUAUAUUAAUUGUGUGCUAGUUAUUUGAAUUUAGUUUAAGUAAUUAUUAGGUAGCAACAUAUAGGUAAAAAAUAAUUGCUGAAAAAAUAUAAGCAAGAAUAUGCAUUUAAAUAUGUUUUAAUUAAUAAAAAAUUAUUAAUAAACAAAUAAAUAUAAUAUAAAUGUAGUUUACAUACAGUGAUGUAUUUAGCUAUAUAUUUAUAAAUUUAAUUUUUUAAUUAU